UAGGGAAUAUUAGAAAUGGACGCAAGUCUGAUCUAGCAACACCGCGUGUGCGAAGAAGGCCUUCGGGUUGUAAAGCACUUUUUGGAAGGAUUAGGAAGGAAUGUACUUCCAGAAUAAGUCUCGGCUAACUACGUGCCAGCAGCCGCGGUAACGCGUAGGAGGCAAACGUUAUCCGGAUUUACUGGGCGUAAAGCGCGUGUAGGUGGUUCUGUAAGUAGGGCGUGAAAGCUCCUGGCUCAGCUGGGAGAGGCCGUUCUAAACUGCAGAGCUAGAGGAUGGUAGAGGGAGGUGGAAUUCCGGGUGUAGCGGUGGAAUGCGCAGAUAUCCGGAGGAACACCAGUGGCGAAAGCGGCCUCCUGGACCAUUCCUGACACUCAGACGCGAAAGCUAGGGUAGCAAACGG
RNAcentral lists this ribosomal RNA (403 nucleotides) under uncultured bacterium. RNAcentral's name for it is "bacterial SSU rRNA". It matches the Rfam family "Bacterial small subunit ribosomal RNA", at positions 355 to 775 of the family's 1533-position model. The record is from RNAcentral.